GAUGAACGCUAGCGGCAGGCUUAACACAUGCAAGUCGAGGGGCAGCGCGAUGUAGCAAUACAUUGGCGGCGACCGGCGCACGGGUGCGUAACACGUAUGGAACUUACCCUUUACUGGGAGAUAGCCCGGAGAAAUCCGGAUUAAUAUCCCAUAAUAAACGAAGUGGCAUCAUUUUGUUUUGAAAGCUCCGGCGGUAAAGGAUGGCCAUGCGCACGAUUAGCUAGUAGGUGAGGUAACGGCUCACCUAGGCUACGAUCGUUAGGGGGCCUGAGAGGGUUAUCCCCCACACUGGUACUGAGACACGGACCAGACUCCUACGGGAGGCAGCAGUGAGGAAUAUUGCGCAAUGGAGGCAACUCUGACGCAGCCAUGCCGCGUGCAGGAAGAAGGCGCUACGCGUUGUAAACUGCUUUUAACCGGGAAGAAACCCUCCGACGUGUCGGAGGUUGACGGUACCGGAGGAAUAAGCACCGGCUAACUUCGUGCCAGCAGCCGCGGUAAAGUG
This 505-nucleotide ribosomal RNA is filed under the name uncultured bacterium. RNAcentral's name for it is "bacterial SSU rRNA". It matches the Rfam family "Bacterial small subunit ribosomal RNA", at positions 28 to 527 of the family's 1533-position model. The record is from RNAcentral.